Molecule: non-coding RNA, 90 nt
Organism: Xylaria longipes
Lineage: Eukaryota; Fungi; Ascomycota; Sordariomycetes; Xylariales; Xylariaceae
Source: the annotation of a GenBank genome assembly
GGACCCGUAGCUCAGCGGUAGAGCAUCUGAUUCCAGCGCCGUUUGGAAACAGCAUCCAGAAGGUCAUCCGUUCAAAUCGGGUCGGGUUCA